RNAcentral lists this ribosomal RNA (432 nucleotides) under uncultured bacterium. RNAcentral describes it as "bacterial SSU rRNA". It matches the Rfam family "Bacterial small subunit ribosomal RNA", at positions 917 to 1345 of the family's 1533-position model. The record is from RNAcentral.
GGACCCGCACAAGUAGUGGAGCAUGUGGUUUAAUUCGAAGAUACGCGCAGAACCUUACCAACACUUGACAUGUUCGUCGCGACUUUAAGAGAUUAAAGUUUUCGGUUCGGCCGGACGAAACACAGGUGCUGCAUGGCUGUCGUCAGCUCGUGUCGUGAGAUGUUGGGUUAAGUCCCGUAACGAGCGCAACCCUUGUCCUUAGUUGCCAGCACGUAAUGGUGGGAACUCUAAGGGACUCCCGGUGUUAAACCGGCGGAAGAUGGGGAUGACGUCAAGUCCUCAUGGCCCUUACGACUGGGGCUACACACGUACUACAAUGGCAACUACAAAGAGCUGCAAGACCGCGAGGUGGAGCUAAUCUCAAAAAAGUUGCCCAAGUUCGGAUUGGAGUCUGCAACUCGACUCCAUGAAGUUGGAAUCGCUAGUAAUCGC